Molecule: ribosomal RNA, 83 nt
Filed under: Schistosoma mansoni
Lineage: Eukaryota; Metazoa; Platyhelminthes; Trematoda; Strigeidida; Schistosomatidae
Source: RNAcentral
GCCGGCGACCAUACCACGUUGAAACCACCGGCUCUCGUCCGAUCACCGCAGUUAAGCAACGUUGAGCCCGGUCAGCACUUGCA